CCUACGGGAGGCAGCAGUGGGGAAUCUUGCGCAAUGGGCGAAAGCCUGACACAGCCAUGCCGCGUGAAUGAUGAAGGUCUUAGGAUUGUAAAAUUCUUUCACCGGGGACGAUAAUGACGGUACCCGGAGAAGAAGCCCCGGCUAACUUCGUGCCAGCAGCCGCGGUAAUACGAAGGGGGCUAGCGUUGCUCGGAAUUACUGGGCGUAAAGGGAGCGUAGGCGGAUAGUUUAGUCAGAGGUGAAAGCCCAGGGCUCAACCUUGGAAUUGCCUUUGAUACUGGCUAUCUUGAGUAUGGGAGAGGUAUGCGGAACUCCGAGUGUAGAGGUGAAAUUCGUAGAUAUUCGGAAGAACACCAGUGGCGAAGGCGGCAUACUGGCCCAUUACUGACGCUGAGGCUCGAAAGCGUGGGGAGCAAACAGGAUUAGAUACCCUGGUAGUCCACGCCGUAAACGAUGAGUGCUAGUUGUCGGCAUGCAUGCAUGUCGGUGACGCAGCUACGCAUUAAGUACGACCUCCGCCGUCGGGGUAGGUACGGUCGGCGAAGUAAGUUAAACGUUAACUUAAAUUAGUAGUUAGUUACGGCGUUGAGACGUGCCGACGGACGACGACGAGGGGAGGAGG
This 622-nucleotide ribosomal RNA is filed under the name uncultured bacterium. RNAcentral's name for it is "bacterial SSU rRNA". The stretch from base 1 to 520 matches the Rfam family "Bacterial small subunit ribosomal RNA", at positions 338 to 873 of the family's 1533-position model. The record is from RNAcentral.